UUCGGCGCUCUUCCUCUACUCCUUCCUAAACCCUUAAUCCAAGAUAUUUCCCCAAAAUUUCACCAAAGUGGGAGUUAAAACACUAUUGAGCGCCAGAAAUUUCAGGUCACCGCGCCUCUCCCUCAAUUCCUACUCUCUUGUGAACUGCCCUGCCCUUUUGAAGAAGAUCAAUCGGUGAUUUGAUUAGCGGCAAGUCUCUGAUGAGGCAUUUCUUCUUUUAUCAUUGAAUACUUUAUCUAAUUUUCCGCUUUUCUCAAGUUCGUUUCGGACCAUGAAUUUCUAGGGUUUAAAUACGCUGAUUAUAGUUUGAUUAGUCUUCUGUGUUUGAAUUUGAUUCUUAUUUCUGAGGAAAUACGUUCUCUGCUUCAUUGUCAUGAUUUUUGGUUUUAAUUUUGUGUAUGUAAAAAUUAUAAUGAGUUUUUAUAUAUGCUGGGUUGUUAUCGGGGCCUCAAGCAGGUGAGUCGAUUUCCAACUUCUGAAGUUUGAAUUUUGUUAUUGAUUGAAUACGAUCUACUGUAUUAUCGCUCUUUGAGCAAAUUGAAGUUGUUGAUUUUUUUUCUUCUGAAAAUGCAAAAGUUCAUGUUUCAAUUGUUUCUAGUUUUUGUUAAUUUUGAAGGUUUAGUUAGAAUCUGAAGCAAUUUAUUGAUCUGACCGACUUGAAUUUCAAACUUUAGCUUUUUGCUUAAAUUUAGAUUUAGAAUGCUGUCAGAAAUAGAGCAAAGUUCACCAAUUCUGAAGGUUCUACUGGUAUCUAUUGCAAUUAACAGAACUACUCGACUUUGAAUUUCAGUUAUUUAGGGUUUUGCUUAUCAUUUAUUCAUGAAUUACAACUGUGUUGGAAAUGACGAUGAAAUCCGUUAUAAGUUCAUUACAGUUGAAGGUUCAACUAGGUUUUGAAGCUAUUUACUGAUUUAUUCAAUUUGAAUUUCAAACUAUAUGAUCAGAGUUGACCAUAGUUAAAUUUCUGCUAUUUGUUGUAUUUGUUUAGCUUGUGUAUAUCAUUAUCUCAUCUGAAAAUUUAUGGCAGGUGAAUUCAUUUAGACUAGACUUUAAAAAUGAAAAUAUUGAUGGUAUAAAGAUCAUGGAUCCAUGCGGUAUAACAUCCUGCAUAUUAUCAAGUAUAGCUCAAUCUAAUCACUGACAUAGGUAAAACAAUUCUACAUAUUAUCAAGUAUUGUCAUAGAGGUUAAAUUGCCUCGGUGACCCUUGAGCCUUUUUAUACAUUGCCUGACAGUUAUGUUGUUUAUGUAAAAUUAUAUCUGAUUUGAGCCUUUGGAUGUCACAAAUAAAAUUAUUUCCAGAACAUGUAUUGCAGCAAGGUAAGACUCUUUCAUUUUAGCAAUUGGGCAAGAAGAAAUUAUCAAACUCUUCACAUACUACCAGCUCUAUAAUCUUUCUUUUAGUUUAUUGCACUGAAGUUGCUGACAAUCAAUUGUUUUUGAUUUGUGGGCUUCAUUAUUAAACUCAUAAACACAUAAUAGGUGAGUUCUAAUAUCCAGAGAAUUGGUUGGGUAUGAAGAAGUAAAUUACUUCCUUCCUCAGAUGUUGAUCUCGAGUUAGUGCAGAAUUCCUCAUUUCAGGGAAGAAUUAAGUUGUUCUGCUAUUAGUCAACCACAUGCUUGGAUGUAAAUUACCUUGAAAAAACGAACUUGAACAUCAGUAAUCAGGAAAGGGUUUCCAUUGGGACUGAAGUAGUCUGUCAUUCAAAAGAACACACUAUAGGAAAUAUGGUUGGAGAAGCAAGCGUCACAUAUGAACUUCCAACAAUUUGGUGCCAAACAGGAAACUGGAUUUAUGACAGAAACUUUGUGAUUAGUUUUACACCGCCACUGAGGAAUGAGAGGGCCAAGAGGCUCCCAAGAGACACGAACUAGCCAGCAGUAGUAUCACAGUUUCUUCUAGAAGGCUUGUGGUCCUUUCAGAUGGCACUCAGGCCACUCAAAGUGUAGCCCUAGAAACUUCUAUUUCUCCCCCUACCUUGGUUCAAGGGUCGUUGGCUACUCAAGGAAACCUGAGACCACUGCUGCUAUCUGGUGACUUUUUCCUUGGAGCUGACUUCACAAAUACCUGCUGUCGAGGACUAAAAGUGCUGCAAAGGAUGGUUGAAGCAUAGUAGAAGUGUGGAAAUUUCAGUUUGUAAAAACUAGUUUUGACCAAAGUUGACCUUAGUUGACUAUGCUAGUUUUUUGGGUUUCUUUGGUAUUUUUUGUUUUUUUGUCUUCUCGUUAAUAUUUUUUUCUUUGUUUAGCUUUGGUAGGCUACUGUAUUUCAUCAAGACCGCAUUUUGUUGCGUGACUAGGUUUGGUUGAGCGUGUAUAAACAUUACUUCAUUUUUUGGUUAAUAAAAU
Molecule: long non-coding RNA, 2348 nt
Organism: Spinacia oleracea (spinach)
Lineage: Eukaryota; Viridiplantae; Streptophyta; Magnoliopsida; Caryophyllales; Amaranthaceae
Exons: 3
Source: RefSeq, a predicted model, not a curated record